RNAcentral lists this long non-coding RNA (775 nucleotides) under Vitis vinifera (wine grape). Its description in RNAcentral is "long non-coding RNA (VVIN_LNC007939)". The record is from RNAcentral. Lineage: Eukaryota; Viridiplantae; Streptophyta; Magnoliopsida; Vitales; Vitaceae.
AAUCAGUUCGAGCCGCUCUGUUUUUAGACUUAAGAAAGCUUACAAAAAGGGAAAAUAAGGAAAAAUUCUAAAUAUUGGGUUUCAUAAUCAUCAUUGUCAAGACGUCAGAAAACAAAAAUCCCAAGCAGCUACUGGGAUCAAUAUAGGUGAAUUUUUAAAUUAUUCCAAACCCAAACACUGCAAGCAGCAAUAUUCCAAAUUUUGUUGUCUGUCUCUUUUCCAAAAUUUUCCUGGAAACCAAACAGGGGUUCAAGUUAACUCAAAUUUGUAUAAUAAAGAAAUAUAAACUGACCUUCCACAGGGAUGAUUUGGGCUUCCUCCGAGUCCCCCAUUUGGGAGGUUUUUAAAUUGAACUCCCAGAUAAGAGAAUAAAAGCUACAAAAUCAAACACAAAACAUCUUCUGCGACCUUGCGAAGGAAAAGGAAUCUCGAGAGAUUGAAGGAGAAGAGACUGGAGGGAAUGGGUAUACUUAAAAAUGGUAUUUCUUCAGAGAUGGAUAUUCUCAACGGAGCAGAGGAAGCGAAAUUAAACCAUCGCUGAGAUGAUUGGAAUAUAUGCUAUAUUUAUACACCUCCAUCAACAUCCAACGCUACACCAAUUACGCCCUCCAAUCUCAGCCGUCCAUUUUGAUUUCUCGAUUACUGGCGUGACUAACGGUACUGUAUCAAGGCUUUUAACUAACCAACCAACCCACCGUUCUCCUCCUAAAAACCAAAAUAAAAACUCCUAUUUCAUAAGGUCAUUUUUGGAACUCCACAAAAUUUUGAGUUCUGA